This 301-nucleotide ribosomal RNA is filed under the name uncultured bacterium. Its description in RNAcentral is "partial 16S ribosomal RNA". It matches the Rfam family "Bacterial small subunit ribosomal RNA", at positions 509 to 809 of the family's 1533-position model. The record is from RNAcentral.
CAGCCGCCGCGGUAAUACGGAGGGGGCUAGCGUUGUUCGGAAUUACUGGGCGUAAAGCGCACGUAGGCGGCUUGGUAAGUUAGAGGUGAAAGCCUGGAGCUCAACUCCAGAAUUGCCUUUAAGACUGCCGAGCUAGCAGGUGAGAGAGGUAAGUGGAAUUCCGAGUGUAGAGGUGAAAUUCGUAGAUAUUCGGAAGAACACCAGUGGCGAAGGCGGCUUACUGGCUCAUACUGGACGCUGAGGUGCGAAAGCGUGGGGAGCAAACAGGAUUAGAUACCCCAGUAGUCCCUGUCUCUUAUAA